CCUACGGGAGGCUGCAGUGGGGAAUAUUGGACAAUGGGGGGAACCCUGAUCCAGCCAUGCCGCGUGUGUGAAGAAGGCCCUCGGGUUGUAAAGCACUUUCAGUGAGGAAGAACGCCUGGUGGUUAAUACCCAUCAGGAAAGACAUCACUCACAGAAGAAGCACCGGCUAACUCCGUGCCAGCAGCCGCGGUAAUACGGAGGGUGCGAGCGUUAAUCGGAAUUACUGGGCGUAAAGCGCGCGUAGGUGGCUUGAUAAGCCGGUUGUGAAAGCCCCGGGCUCAACCUGGGAACGGCAUCCGGAACUGUCAAGCUAGAGUGCAGGAGAGGAAGGUCGCAUUCCCGGUGUAGCGGUGAAAUGCGUAGAGAUCGGGAGGAAUACCAGUGGCGAAGGCGGCCUUCUGGACUGACACUGACACUGAGGUGCGAAAGCGUGGGUAGCAAACAGGAUUAGAUACCCUAGUAGUC
This 465-nucleotide ribosomal RNA is filed under the name Vreelandella stevensii. Its description in RNAcentral is "partial 16S ribosomal RNA". It matches the Rfam family "Bacterial small subunit ribosomal RNA", at positions 338 to 795 of the family's 1533-position model. The record is from RNAcentral. Lineage: Bacteria; Pseudomonadati; Pseudomonadota; Gammaproteobacteria; Oceanospirillales; Halomonadaceae.